CCCUUAGAUGUUCUGGGCCGCACGCGCGCUACACUGAUCAGUGCAACAAGCAUCCGUCCUUGGCCGACAGGCCCGGGCAAUCUUUGAACGCUGAUCGUGAUGGGGAUAGACUUUUGCAAUUUUUGGUCUUCAACGAGGAAUUCCUAGUAAACGCAAGUCAUCAACUUGCAUUGAUUACGUCCCUGCCCUUUGUACACACCGCCCGUCGCUCCUACCGAUUGAAUGUGUUGGUGAGGAGCUCGGAUUGGCAGCAGUUGGUGGUUCGCCACCGGCUAUUGCUGAGAAGUCCUCCAAACCGCCCCAUUUAGAGGAAGGAGAAGUCGUAACA
Molecule: ribosomal RNA, 328 nt
Filed under: uncultured eukaryote
Lineage: Eukaryota
Description: partial 18S ribosomal RNA
Rfam family: Eukaryotic small subunit ribosomal RNA
Source: RNAcentral